RNAcentral lists this ribosomal RNA (253 nucleotides) under uncultured bacterium. RNAcentral describes it as "partial 16S ribosomal RNA". It matches the Rfam family "Bacterial small subunit ribosomal RNA", at positions 524 to 776 of the family's 1533-position model. The record is from RNAcentral.
UACGUAGGGUGCAAGCGUUGUCCGGAAUUAUUGGGCGUAAAGAGCUCGUAGGCGGUCUGUCGCGUCUGCUGUGAAAACUCAGGGCUUAACCCUGAGCUUGCAGUGGGUACGGGCAGACUAGAGUGCGGUAGGGGAGACUGGAAUUCCCGGUGUAGCGGUGAAAUGCGCAGAUAUCGGGAGGAACACCCGUAGCGAAGGCGGCACUCUGGGCCGGUACUGACGCUGAGGAGCGAAAGCGUGGGGAGCAAACAGG